GAUUAUGGCUCAGGAUGAACGCUAGCGACAGGCUAACACAUGCAAGUCGAGGGGCAGCAUAAAAGUAGCAAUACGUUGGUGGCGACCGGCGCACGGGUGAGUAACGCGUAUGCAACCUACCUAUCGAGAGGGGAAUAACCCGGCGAAAGUCGGACUAAUACCGCAUAAAACAGGGGCACCGCAUGGUGAUAUUUGUUAAAGAAAUUCGCUGAUAGAUGGGCAUGCGUUCCAUUAGGUAGUUGGUGAGGUAACGGCUCACCAAGCCGACGAUGGAUAGGGGAACUGAGAGGUUGGUCCCCCACACUGGUACUGAGACACGGACCAGACUCCUACGGGAGGCAGCAGUGAGGAAUAUUGGUCAAUGGGCGAGAGCCUGAACCAGCCAAGUCGCGUGAAGGAAGAAGGAUCUAUGGUUCGUAAACUUCUUUUGCAGGGGAAUAAAGUGCAGGACGUGUCCUGUUUUGUAUGUACCCUGAGAAUAAGGAUCGGCUAACUCCGUGCCAGCCGCCGC
Molecule: ribosomal RNA, 511 nt
Filed under: uncultured bacterium
Lineage: Bacteria
Description: bacterial SSU rRNA
Rfam family: Bacterial small subunit ribosomal RNA
Source: RNAcentral